GUCGAGCGGAACGAAGAGUAGCUUGCUACUCUGGCGUCGAGCGGCGGACGGGUGAGUAAUGCUUGGGAACAUGCCUUGAGGUGGGGGACAACAGUUGGAAACGACUGCUAAUACCGCAUAAUGUCUACAGACCAAAGGGGGCUUCGGCUCUCGCCUUUAGAUUGGCCCAAGUGGGAUUAGCUAGUUGGUGAGGUAAUGGCUCACCAAGGCGACGAUCCCUAGCUGGUUUGAGAGGAUGAUCACCCACACUGGGACUGAGACACGGCCCAGACUCCUACGGGAGGCAGCAGUGGGGAAUAUUGCACAAUGGGCGCAAGCCUGAUGCAGCCAUGCCGCGUGUGUGAAGAAGGCCUUCGGGUUGUAAAGCACUUUCAGUCAAGAGGAAAGGUUAGUAGUUAAUACCUGCUAUCUGUGACGUUACUGACAGAAGAAGCACCGGCUAACUCCGUGCCAGCAGCCGCGGUAAUACAGAGGGUGCGAGCGUUAAUCAGAAUUACUGGGCGUAAAGCGUACGCACGCGGUUUGUUAAGCGAGAUGUGAAAGCCCCGGGCUCAACCUGGGAACUGCAUUUCGAACUGGCAAACUAGAGUGUGAUAGAGGGUGGUAGAAUUUCAGGUGUAGCGGUGAAAUGCGUAGAGAUCUGAAGGAAUACCGAUGGCGAACGCAGCCACCUGGGUCAACACUGACGCUCAUGUACGAAAGCGUGGGGAGCAAACAAGAUUAGAUACCCUGGUAGUCCACGCCGUAAACGAUGUCUACUAGAAGCUC
This 768-nucleotide ribosomal RNA is filed under the name Pseudoalteromonas atlantica. RNAcentral's name for it is "bacterial SSU rRNA". It matches the Rfam family "Bacterial small subunit ribosomal RNA", at positions 61 to 825 of the family's 1533-position model. Lineage: Bacteria; Pseudomonadati; Pseudomonadota; Gammaproteobacteria; Alteromonadales; Pseudoalteromonadaceae. The record is from RNAcentral.